UUUCCCAUAUUGGUAAAUUUCCUUGAUUUGUCUUCUUUUGUGAACUGCUUCAAUAAUACUGUCGUGUAUCGUGGAUAUUUUUUACAUGUAGAAAAAACUUUGUAUUUACUCCGAACUUUCUUGAUGCUAGCAUGGGUGGUGAGUGUUGAUAUGUGGUGAUAUCAAGCGAUCAUAAGUUCAGUGGAGAUUAUGUUGAAUUUGGCAAGUGUAGAUAUUACAAAGCAAGCAAUUAUUGAUCGCUUGUUGGAUGGAGUAAAGCAAUGUCAGGUACGAUUUGGUAGUACAACCGAAUUGGCUUCUGAGAAGGAUAGCAGAAUCUCUUGUCUUUGUGAGCAAUGGAAUCGAAC
Long non-coding RNA from Xenia sp. Carnegie-2017, 347 nucleotides. RefSeq lists it as uncharacterized. The record is from RefSeq and is a predicted model, not a curated record. NCBI's taxonomy places the organism in Eukaryota, Metazoa, Cnidaria, Anthozoa, Malacalcyonacea, Xeniidae. The transcript has 4 exons.